AUGAGUAGCUUUGGACCCGUGUCUGCCGGUAGAUCCCCCGUUGUAGUUCGGCCGACUACCGGCGCUGUGUCCCGUCACUUUUGUGGCAUUGUCCCGCUGGAUUGAAACUGUGGCUUGUGUGCUUGUACCCGACCUACGGGAAGUGGUGCUUCAUAUAAUUGUUGCCUCACGGUGGACGCCCUUUGGGUGUGCCACUGCGAUCGAAUAGCGCUUGCGGUGUUGCCUCGUACAGUUGGCACGUAAUGUGUCUGCUGCUAUCACGGCAACCUUGCUCUCGCUUUUGGUCUUGGAUGCUGCUCACGAUAUAGGCUUGAGGCCCUUUUGGUUGCCUUGAUCCGACCCAAAGCUCUUUCCGAAAUGGCGAUCACCGGAACAGGUCUUGCCUCUACCUCUCCACGGUUACGUGGUAGGGUAUGCAACCCUCUGCGCCGGCCCUCAUGGAGGAUGAGCUUGGCUCUUUCCAAAAUGGCGAUCAUCGGAACAGAUUUUGCCUCUACCUCUCUACGGCUACGUGGUAGGUACGCAACCCUCUGCUCCGGUCCACAUGGAGGAUGAGCCUUGCCCGCUCAAAAGCGACAACCGGCCCGGCUGCUGCAUUUGCCUUUCCAUGCAAGUGGAAGCGCAAGGUAACUCCCGAUGCUGGAUGUCACCGAGGACGUGCU
This 662-nucleotide unclassified non-coding RNA is filed under the name Bromus natalensis. Its description in RNAcentral is "partial external transcribed spacer". Lineage: Eukaryota; Viridiplantae; Streptophyta; Magnoliopsida; Poales; Poaceae. The record is from RNAcentral.